AGAGUUUGAUCCUGGCUCAGGAUAAACGCUGGCGGCGUGCUUUAUGCAUGCAAGUCGAACGAUUCUUCCCGCAAGGGAAGGAUAGUGGCAAAUGGGUGAGUAACGCGUAAGUAACCUGCCCUUAAGUAGGGGAUAACUCUGAGAAAUCGGAGCUAAUACCUUAUGUGGUGUUGGGGGUAAUGCUCCAUCACUAAAGCCUUCGGGCGCUUAGGGAGGGGCUUGCGUCCGAUUAGCUAGUUGGUAGAGUAAUGGCCUACCAAGGCGAUGAUCGGUAGCUGGUCUGAGAGGAUGGUCAGCCACACUGGGACUGAGACACGGCCCAGACUCCUACGGGAGGCAGCAGCAAGGAAUUUUGUGCAAUGGGCGAAAGCCUGACACAGCGACGCCGCGUGGGGGAUGAAGGCUUUCGGGUUGUAAACCCCUUUUCUCAGGGAGGAAUAAUGACAGUACCUGAGGAAUAAGUCAUGGCUAACUACGUGCCAGCAGCCGCGGUAA
Molecule: ribosomal RNA, 495 nt
Filed under: uncultured bacterium
Lineage: Bacteria
Description: bacterial SSU rRNA
Rfam family: Bacterial small subunit ribosomal RNA
Source: RNAcentral